GUGUCAGCAGCCGCGGUAAUACAGAGGAGCCAAGCGUUGUCCGGAUUGACUGGGCGUAAAGCGCACGCAGGCGGUUGUGCGCGUGGGGUGUGAAAUCUGGCCGCUUAACGGCCAGGCGCCAUCCCAUACGGCACGACUGGAGGGAUGCAGAGGUCGAUGGAAUUGCCGGUGUAGUGGUGAAAUGCGUAGAGAUCGGCAGGAACACCCAGGGGGAAACCAGUCGACUGGGCAUUACCUGACGCUGAGGUGCGAGAGCGUGGGGAGCGAACCGGAUUAGAAACCCUGGUAGUCC
Molecule: ribosomal RNA, 292 nt
Filed under: uncultured bacterium
Lineage: Bacteria
Description: partial 16S ribosomal RNA
Rfam family: Bacterial small subunit ribosomal RNA
Source: RNAcentral